CCGAGUAUAUUUCAAGUAACGUCAUCCUUCCCAAGCCAACGCUGGUAUGAAGGGCGGAAACUCUUCUUUCCACUCCUCUGUCAUUUGCGGCUGUUCCCAUCUGCUCAGGGGCACUGCCUGCUCAGUCCUCGCUGCAGAGGGAUCUCCAGACACUCUGCCCUGGUCCUUCCCAUUUUCUUGAGCAAGUGGCUUUCCAACCGAAGCUUCAUGUGGGAGGCUUCAUGUUGGCAUCCAGGGUACAUGUCCCAAAUAUGUCCAGCCCCACCUUCUGAUCCUAGUGCAGAGGAGCUGCGGACAGAUGACAGUAGCUAUCCUCCUUCAAUACUGAGGAAAAGGCCACCUGUGGACCAAGCUGUGGGGGAAAAGAGGAAAGCAGAGAGAAGGGUUCGAUUUCGUGAGCCAGAAGAAGUCAUUGAACAUGCCAUUUCCUGCUGUGACUACAUGGUGGUAGAUGACAGGUCAUCAUCUGGAUUGCCCGUGCUCUUAUGGCUCUCAUUUUGUGCAGUGCUGGUCCUUGCUGUGAGUCUCUACUACACCAGCAUGAAGCAAGAUGUCAAAGUCCUGGAGGAAUUUCAAUCUCGACUUGUUAUCUUCUUUCUUCAGAUAAGGCACGUUGCUCAGAAAUGCUGGACUUGGUUUAUGAGGCAGUAGCAAUGUCCUCUGGCCUGACAGAUAUCUCAGAGCACUGCUAACCACCAUGUGGCAGUGCAAACCUCCCCGUCUCUUCCAGCCACAUGCGGGGAACACAUGAGCAUCCACCUUGAAGAGCAAGAAAACCACCCCUGUUGUGCACUGUCCGGCAGCUACUUGUUUCCCUUGGUUUUUUCUUUUUUUUUUUUUUUUUUUUUUUUUCCCCACAUUAUCAAACCAUGUUUCUCCUCAAGCCUCCUAAGAGCUAUUCUGCAAAAGUUAAAAUAAAGCUGAGCUAUUGCACA
This 935-nucleotide long non-coding RNA is filed under the name Calidris pugnax (ruff). Its description in RNAcentral is "lncRNA (ENSCPUG00000004126.1)". Lineage: Eukaryota; Metazoa; Chordata; Aves; Charadriiformes; Scolopacidae. The record is from RNAcentral.